This is an RNA transcript of Quercus lobata, 3017 nucleotides long. It is a transcript of the gene named probable ion channel CASTOR, with no coding region annotated. The record is from RefSeq and is a predicted model, not a curated record. The transcript is spliced from 12 exons. NCBI's taxonomy places the organism in Eukaryota, Viridiplantae, Streptophyta, Magnoliopsida, Fagales, Fagaceae.
AAAACACAACCCCAAAAAAAUUCAAAAUUUUAGGUACCGAAAAGGCCCUCGAUAUUUUUCAAUAAUCCCCAUCAUGUCCCUAGACUCAGUCUCUCUUCCUCCUUCGACUAGCAGAGACUGGUUUUUUCCCACUCCACCGAAAUACCCAAAAUGCCCUCGCAAAUUCACCGCAAACCCCAAAGCUCCUUCCCAUAUUUCCCUCCUCCUCCUCCUCCUCCUCCCAAAACGCCGUCGUUCCGAGACGUUUCGGAAACCGCACCGACGCCGUAUCGGGAUUUCAAGUAUGCGAGGACUCGCCGGAGAGUCGACGUAUCUCAACGGAGCCAGAGGAGUAAGGUUUCCGAAGAGUCUAACGGCGCCGUUUCGGGACCGAAGCCAGAAGUUUCGGCCGUUUCGGCGAAAAUUGAGGACGUUUCGGCGGUGAAGAAAGUGAGUAAAAUUAUCGGGGUUUCGGUUCGGGACUUGAAAAAUCGGUGGUACAUGGCGGUCUCAGUAGCUGUUUUGAUAACAGUGUUUUCUUCAUUGCUGUACAAGAAUUUCUCAUUACAGAACCAAGUCAAUGAGCUUCAGGACCAGAUCUCCAAUUGCAAUAUCUCUAUAGGUGCUACCAACUCCAUUGAACAGGAGAUUGAUCAUCUUCCAAGCAAAAACUUGAAAAUUUUAGCUCUCAUUCUCUCUAUCACACUUUUAUCUGUCCCUUUUCUGAUUUUCAAGUAUGUUGAUUAUGUCUCUAAGUCAAGAUCAUUGGACAAUAUUUCAGAAGAAGUUUCUCUUAACAAACAACUAGCAUAUUGGGUGGAUUUGUUUUUAUCGGUACACCCAUAUGCUAAGCCAUUGGGUUUGUUAGUUGCAACUCUAUUACUUAUAUGUCUUGGGGGGUUGGCACUCCAUGGAGUGACUGAUGGUAGCUUAGCAGAAUGUCUUUGGUUAUCUUGGACAUAUGUAGCUGAUUCUGGCAACCAUGCUGACUCUGAAGGUAUUGGUUGGAAACUAGUUUCAGUUUCCAUUAGCUUUGGUGGGAUGCUUAUAUUUGCAAUGAUGCUUGGACUUGUUUCUGAUGCAGUUUCUGAGAAGCUUGACUCAUUGAGGAAAGGAAGAAGUGAGGUGGUCGAAAAAAGCCACACUUUGAUACUUGGGUGGAGUGAUAAAUUGGGAUCACUGCUUAAUCAACUUGCUAUAGCCAAUGAGAGUUUGGGAGGAGGAAUUGUUGUUGUGAUGGCCGAGCGAGACAAAGAGGAAAUGGAACUUGACAUUGCUAAGAUGGAAUUCAAUUUUAAAGGAACAUCAGUGAUAUGCCGAAGUGGGAGCCCUCUGAUUCUAGCUGACCUGAAAAAGGUAUCUGUCUCCAAGGCCCGUGCGAUCAUUGUCCUUGCUGAAGAUGGAAAUGCUGACCAGAGUGAUGCUCGUGCACUUAGAACAGUUUUAAGUCUAGCCGGAGUUAAGGAAGGGCUUCGAGGACACAUAGUUGUGGAACUUAGUGAUCUUGACAACAAGGUCCUUGUUAAACUUGUUGGCGGAGAUCCUGUACAAACUGUUGUGGCUCAUGAUGUAAUUGGUCGUUUGAUGAUUCAAUGUGCUCGGCAGCCAGGACUUGCACAGAUCUGGGAAGAUAUUCUUGGGUUUGAAAAUUGUGAGUUCUACAUCAAGAGAUGGCCACAGUUGGAUGGCAUGCAAUUUGAGGAUGUCUUAAUUAGUUUUCCUGAUGCCAUUCCUUGUGGAGUCAAGAUUGCAUCAUAUAGUGGUAAAAUUGUUCUUAAUCCUGAGGAUUCCUAUGUCCUACAAGAAGGCGAUGAAGUUCUUGUUAUAGCUGAGGAUGAUGACACCUAUUCUCCAGCAGCACUGCCUACGGUUUGGAGAGGAAGUCUACCCAAAGAUUUUUUUGUUCCAAAAUCUACAGAAAAGAUACUUUUAUGUAGUUGGCGACGAGAUAUGGAAGAUAUGAUUAUGGUAUUGGAUGCGUUUCUAGCACCUGGUUCAGAGCUUUGGAUGUUCAAUGAUGUUCUUGGAAAGGAGAGGGAGAAGAAGCUUACUGAUGGUGGACUUGACAUAAACCGAUUGGUGAAUAUAUCCUUGGUUCAUCGCGAGGGAAAUGCUGUAAUACGGCGUCAUUUAGAAAGCCUUCCCCUGCAAUCUUUUGAUUCAGUCUUGAUUCUGGCUGAUGAAUCUGUGGAAGAUUCUGCAAUUCAAGCUGAUUCCAGAUCUCUUGCCACAUUACUAUUAAUUUGUGACAUUCAGGCAAAACGUCUCCCAUUCAGAGACACUCAAGUUCAUAGAGGAAGCUUCUCACAAGGGUCCUGGAUAGGAGAUAUGCAGCAAGCUUCAGAUAAAUCAGUUAUAAUCAGUGAAAUUCUGGAUCCAAGGACAAAAAAUUUAUUAUCCAUGUCAAAGAUCAGCGAUUAUGUUUUAUCAAAUGAGCUUGUCAGCAUGGCACUGGCCAUGGUUGCAGAGGAUUGACAAAUAAAUGAUGUAUUAGAAGAGCUCUUUGCUGAGGAGGUAGUCUUCUUCUGAUAAUGGGAAUGAGAUGCAUAUAAGACAAGCAGAUCUCUAUCUUCGUGAAGGGGAGGAAUUGAGUUUCUAUGAGAUACUCUUACGAGCCCGACAAAGGAGGGAGAUUGUGAUUGGUUAUCAUUUUGCCAAUGCUGAGAGAGCUGUCAUCAAUCCCCCUGCUAAAAGCGAGAGACAAAGGUGGUCAUUGAAGGAUGUAUUUGUGGUAAUUGCUGAGAAAGAUGAGUGAUGAAAUAGGGUAUCCUUGAAAGGAAUGAAAUUUUGUUUAUAAUCAGGAUAGGAUUGAAGACCAUAGUCUCCAAAGUCAUUGAGAUUGUAAAUUUACUGAUGGCCUGCAAUUUCCUGCCCCAGAAUCAACCUCAGAUUUUGACUGGUAUUCCAGAUAAUUUUCUGAUCAGACGGAAAAGAGCAACUCAAAUUUAAUGCCCACCUCUCUUUGUAUUUCAUUAAUCAUAGUGAUUGCUUUACAUUAGUCAGCUGUAUAGCAUCCGUCUACAUACCAUCAUUGUAAA